AGUGAACGCUGGCGGUAGGCCUAACACAUGCCAGUCGAACGGCAGCACAGUAAGAGCUUGCUCUUACGGGUGGCGAGUGGCGGACGGGUGAGGAAUACAUCGGAAUCUACUUUUUCGUGGGGGAUAACGUAGGGAAACUUACGCUAAUACCGCAUACGACCUACGGGUGAAAGCAGGGGAUCUUCGGACCUUGCGCGAUUGAAUGAGCCGAUGUCGGAUUAGCUAGUUGGCGGGGUAAAGGCCCACCAAGGCGACGAUCCGUAGCUGGUCUGAGAGGAUGAUCAGCCACACUGGAACUGAGACACGGUCCAGGCUCCUACGGGAGGCAGCAGUGGGGAAUAUUGGACAAUGGGCGCAAGCCUGAUCCAGCCAUACCGCGUGGGUGAAGAAGGCCUUCGGGUUGUAAAGCCCUUUUUUUGGGAAAGAAAAGCAGCAGGUUAAUACCCCGCUGUUCUGACGGUACCCAAAGAAUAAGCACCGGCUAACUUCGUG
This 492-nucleotide ribosomal RNA is filed under the name uncultured bacterium. RNAcentral's name for it is "partial 16S ribosomal RNA". It matches the Rfam family "Bacterial small subunit ribosomal RNA", at positions 29 to 507 of the family's 1533-position model. The record is from RNAcentral.